Molecule: ribosomal RNA, 1055 nt
Filed under: uncultured Comamonas sp.
Lineage: Bacteria; Pseudomonadati; Pseudomonadota; Betaproteobacteria; Burkholderiales; Comamonadaceae
Description: bacterial SSU rRNA
Rfam family: Bacterial small subunit ribosomal RNA
Source: RNAcentral
GUGCGUAGUGAUUGUAUAGUUUGAUCAUGGCUCAGAUUGAACGCUGGCGGCAUGCCUUACACAUGCAAGUCGAACGGCAGCGCGUCCUUCGGGAUGGCGGCGAGUGGCGAACGGGUGAGUAAAGCAUCGGAACGUGCCCGGUAGUGCGGGAUAGCUCGGCGAAAGCCGGAUUAAUACCGCAUGAGAUCCGUGGAUGAAAGCAGGGGACCCCUUGUGGGCCUUGCGCUACUGGAGCGGCCGAUGUCGGAUUAGGUAGUUGGUGGGGUAAAGGCCUACCAAGCCUGCGAUCUGUAGCUGGUCUGAGAGGAUGAUCAGCCACAUCGGGACUGAGACACGGCCCGAACUCCUACGGGAGGCAGCAGUGGGGAAUUUUGGACAAUGGGCGCAAGCCUGAUCCAGCCAUGCCGCGUGCAGGAUGAAGGCCCUCGGGUUGUAAACUGCUUUUGUACGGAACGAAAAGCCUCCUUCUAAUAAAGGGGGGUGAUGACGGUACCGUAAGAAUAAGCACCGGCUAACUACGUGCCAGCAGCCGCGGUAAUACGUAGGGUGCGAGCGUUAAUCGGAAUUACUGGGCGUAAAGCGUGCGCAGGCGGUCUUGCAAGACAGUGGUGAAAUCCCCGGGCUCAACCUGGGAACUGCCAUUGUGACUGCAAGGCUGGAGUACGGCAGAGGGGGAUGGAAUUCCGCGUGUAGCAGUGAAAUGCGUAGAUAUGCGGAGGAACACCGAUGGCGAAGGCAGUCCCCUGGGCCUGUACUGACGCUCAUGCACGAAAGCGUGGGGAGCAAACAGGAUUAGAUACCCUGGUAGUCCACGCCCUAAACGAUGUCAACUGGUUGUUGGGGAUUUAUUUCCUCAGUAACGAAGCUAACGCGUGAAGUUGACCGCCUGGGGAGUACGGCCGCAAGGUAAAACUCAAAGGAUUGACGGGGACCCGCACAGCGGUGGAUGAUGUGUUUAUUCGAUGCACGCGAAAACCUUACCCACCUUUGACAUGGCAGAUCCUUUAGAGAUAGAGAGUGCUCGAAGAGACCUGCACACAGGUGCUGCAUGGCUG